RNAcentral lists this ribosomal RNA (262 nucleotides) under uncultured bacterium. RNAcentral describes it as "partial 16S ribosomal RNA". It matches the Rfam family "Bacterial small subunit ribosomal RNA", at positions 1229 to 1500 of the family's 1533-position model. The record is from RNAcentral.
UAGGCAGGUACAGAGGGCAGCUACCCAGCAAUGGGAUGCGAAUCUCGAAAGCCUGUCUCAGUUCGGACUGGAGUCUGCAACCCGACUCCACGAAGUUGGAUUCGCUAGUAAUCGCGCAUCAGCCAUGGCGCGGUGAAUACGUUCCCGGGCCUUGUACACACCGCCCGUCAAGCCAUGGGAGCCGGGGGCGCCUGAAGUCCGGGACCGCGAGGACCGGCCUAGGGCGAAACUGGUAACUGGGGCUAAGUCGUAACAAGGUACC